This 253-nucleotide ribosomal RNA is filed under the name uncultured bacterium. RNAcentral's name for it is "partial 16S ribosomal RNA". It matches the Rfam family "Bacterial small subunit ribosomal RNA", at positions 524 to 776 of the family's 1533-position model. The record is from RNAcentral.
UACGUAGGUGGCAAGCGUUGUUCGGAAUUACUGGGCGUAAAGCGCGCGUAGGCGGUGAUCUUUGUCAGAGGUGAAAUCCCGAGGCUCAACUUCGGAAUUGCCUUUGAAACGGGAUCGCUUGAGUCCGAGAGAGGAUGGCGGAAUUCCUAGUGUAGAGGUGAAAUUCGUAGAUAUUAGGAAGAACACCGGUGGCGAAGGCGGCCAUCUGGCUCGGUACUGACGCUCAGGCGCGAAAGCGUGGGGAGCAAACAGG